This is a non-coding RNA of Caenorhabditis elegans, 21 nucleotides long. NCBI's taxonomy places the organism in Eukaryota, Metazoa, Nematoda, Chromadorea, Rhabditida, Rhabditidae. The record is from Ensembl.
UUAAUCGAAGUUCGUGGUAUU